AACUCGACGGUUGGAGUUUCUUCUACCGGCGGUGUGUUUGACUCGGUGGCGGUCAAUGCCGGAGCUUAUUCAAAUAUGGAGGAGCUGGUGGUUUAUAACCCGAGGGCUAUAUUACCUUGCUUCGUGGUUAUUUACAAGGUUGUAGAAUCUUGAAUUUGUUGUAUUAACUUCAGAAAUAAUGCUUUUUCUGACUUUGUAAUAUUGUAGGGAGAUUAAGUUAAUCAUCAUUUAAGAUCUUAACAUAAACCCCAUCUUACUAUUGCAUAAGAUUAAUAAAUUUUGCAUUGAAAAUCGAAAACGACACUUAUUUUGUAACGAAAAAAAUUAUCUAAAACGACACUUAAUAUGAAACGGAAAGAGUAAUAAUAAUACCAAACAUGUUUGCGUCGCAUAUUCAGCUUGCAUUUCGACCGAUGGAAGCUUCAUUGACACUGACCAAGUCAGCUCUUAAGAAGGUCAAACUAUAAUGGCUUAGAUGUGAAGUAACCAUGAUCAAUUUUCAAUGGCUUACUCUAUUUUUUACUUUAAAAUAAAAUAAUUCUAUAAUAAAGUUUUAAGUUUGUUUUAAUGGUAGUCUAUUUUAGAGUAAAAGAUAGAGUGAUAAGCAAAAAAAAAAAUCAAAUUACUCUAUAUUUAGAAUAAAUUUAUUUUUUUACUCUAUUAUAGAAUAAGAAAUAUAGUAUCAUUAGAGCAUUUUUACACUAAAUUCUAUUUUAUAGCAAAAAUUGAGUGGGGUUGGAGAUGCUCUAAUUGUUAAAGCACAUAUAAGCUAACCAAACUAGUUCAGAAAGAAUUAAUGUCAUUUUCUUCUAACUAAUUUCUUAUCAUUAGCACUUUAGAACUUAGUAUAAUUCAUAUUAAAUACUGUUUUCUUUAAGGAAAAUAUAGUGUUAACUGUACCACAACUAACAGAGCAGCAAACAGAUGCCAACAUUAAUUACAAUAUUUUUUACUGACAAAACAAAAUAUUUGAAUAUUAGUACGCUAUUUUCCAGUAAAAAGCUAAUUAUGAUUAAGAAAACAAAUCGAAUGACAAGAAUACUGAAAGGUAUAGAGUAAAACAGUAAAUAAAGAAUUAAAGAAACAUAGAGGCCACCACUUUAAUCUUUCCCUCCUUAUUACCCCAUCUUGGAUCCAUCUUCGAUUUCAACACCAACAAAAAAGCCUUAUAAUUAAAGAACCAAAAAGAAACUCUCACGUUCUCUCAAGAGCUUCUCUUUCAGUUUCAAUGGCCUUACUAACUUUCUUGCCGGAAAACGCAGAGUCUCCAAAACACACUCCACCGCCAAACAAACGCAAGAAACGCGAGAUCAAUCACACCAACCAAACGCAGAAACCACACAAACCGCAAAAGCAGAAAGCAGUAGCACCUCAGAAGCAACCGUCUUCAUGGGACCAAAUCAAGAAUCUCUUGACUUGCAAGCAAAUCGAAGGGUCAAGAAUCCACGACCCUUCCAAGAACUCUCAACCCGGUCCAUCCACAACCACUCACUUAUUAUCACCUUCCAAGCUUGGCUCGUCGUGCAGCUCCAUCUGCAGGUUUCGAGACGUGGCUCACGGCAACACUCGUGUGGUUCACAGAGCAGACCACUCUCCAGACGUAGCUAACUCGGCUACUCCUGACUCGGAGACUCGUCUUCUGACUCGGAAACCUGGUCAACACGGUUCUUCUUCAUCGUCUCGGUCUCUUAGAUAUGGCUCAACUACGUUAUCCGCAACGACGUCAUUUAGAGCCAUGCAGUUCCGUAAACUCUCCGGAUGUUACGAGUGUCACAUGAUCGUUGACCCUAGCAAGUAUACAAAAUUAAAUUCCGCCAAUAAAUUAGCUGUCGUUAUAUUUUUGGUGUUUCAUUUAUUGAUUUUUUUUGAAUUUUAGGUAUCCAAUUUCGCCUAGGGUUCGUGCUUGUUCCCAGUGUGGAGAAGUUUUCCCGAAGCUUGAAAGCUUAGAGCUUCAUCAAGCGGUUCGUCACGCAGGUAAUGUUUAACUUUUUUUCUUUAAUUUGUUGGACGUUAUCACGCUCAAUAUUGAUUUUGGGAUGUACAUAUGUAGUCACGUUUCUAAAGUUAACCCUGGUAUUAAAGAUUGUUUUAUUCAUCUAGUGGCAUUUCUAAAGUUAACCCUAGUACAGUAGUACUAACACAUGUUUUGGUGACAUGGAUUCAUCAUAGGGUUUACCAUAAUGCUAAGCAAUAAUUCACUAACUAGGAUAAAAAUGAGCAGGGUAAGUUUAUUUGUAUAUAUUAUCGAUAUUUUUUUUUAUAUAUUUGAUCAUUUUAUUUAUAAAUAUACAAUAUUUUUUGUUGUUAUUCUAUAAUUUAUUUCUGAUGGACCGGAUCAAUUUUUAUUAAAAAUUGUGGAACUAAACUAUAAUUAAUAUAUUAUGGAUUGAUCGGAUUGUACAUUAAACAAAUUAUGACACAAAAACUUUAUUUUUUUCCACCGAACACAUUCUUGAAAAAAGUAAACAGUACUAUUUUCACAGUUGAAUUAUUUUGACAUUUAUCUUUCAUAUGGUUUUGAAAGAGUUAAGAUUAACCAUCGAAUUGAUACAUGUCAUUUUAAUGUUUUUCGUUGUAUGCUUAAGGAAAAAUUACAUUUUUGUAAUUUAAAAUCGUUUAAAAAACUUCAAAAUAUAACAUAUAAGAAAAAAUGUAACAUAUAAGAAAAAUAUAACAUAUAAGGUUUUCUCAUUUUUGUAAUUUAAAAUCGUUUUAAAAUUUUUAAAUAUAACAUAUAAGAUUUCCUCAUUUUUGUAAUUGAAGUCAUUUAAAAAAAAUCAAAAUAUAACAUAUAAGAAAAAAUCUAAUUUUUUUAUUAUUUGGUCAAUGUGAUUGUUUAUUUUUUUUUAAUAGUAUAAAAAUUAAACAAAAAUGAAGAAAGAUGCAAAAAUUGUUAUCAAAUCUUUAUUAUUCAUAGUCAUUAAUUGUUAUAUAUAUGUUAAUUAUAUUAGGUAAUUAUGUAGCUUUUAUUUAAGAAAAAAAUAAACGCUUCUCAUAUUUUGGGGUGAUAUAAUAUUUCCUAUUAAUUGGAUUUAGACCAACAUUUUUUCGAUUGAUUUUUAAGCUGCCACGUAAACUAAAUUGUCAUCCUAAUUAAGUGACAUCUAAGCAUGAUCUUUUUUUAAUUAGUAUAAAUUUAAAGUUAUAAUUUUUUUAAUGACCCUCAAUUAAUAUAUAUGGGAUAUGCUUUCAUGUUAUAGCUAGCUUAGUUUUUUCAGUAAUGGAAUCAAGAUCAAGAGAUCUCAUUGCUAGUGUCGGUGAUAAUAUCUAUCAAAUAAAUUAGGAAGAUUUGGCAUUAUGUUUAGUUUGUAAUUAGAAUAUAAAUUUAUUUAACGCAUCUCAAAGAAAAAAAUACAAAAUAUAAGAGGAAUAUUAAUGGAGAACAGUAUAUUAUACUUCCUCUAUUCCAAAAAAAAAAGGAUUUUCUAAAGUAUUCACGCAUAUUAAAAAAACAAUAAAUUUUUUACAAUUGAAUUUAUUAUUUAUUUUACUGUACAUUUUCCAAUAAAUAUCAACCAAUAGUAUUCAACCAAUUCAAAUAUUUUCAAUUAAUGUUUUUUAAAAGUAUUCAAUUUUUCAACAUUAACUAGUGAAAGUACUUUCAAAUUUUAGAAAAUCUAUUAUUUUGGAACAAAAAAAAUCUACAAAAUUCUACUUUCAUUUUGCUCGGAAACACUUCGGUAUGCGAUGGGACCAUUGGUACUAUAAACAUGAACAGCUGUAACAUUUCUUAACUAAAUUCAGUGUCCCCUGACGAACCGAAUUUAAAAUUCAGUUUUUGUGUUUUGCCUCGACUUUUAUCAUGUUCCCUGAUUUAAACGUUGUCCUUUAAUUACAGUGUCUGAGUUAGGUCCGGAAGAUUCGGGUCGAAACAUAGUGGAGAUCAUAUUCAAGUCAAGCUGGCUUAAAAAGGACAGUCCAAUCUGUAAGAUCGAACGGAUACUAAAAGUACACAACACUCAACGUACAAUCCAACGGUUCGAAGAUUGCCGAGACGCAGUGAAGGCGCGUGCACUUCAAACUACAAGAAAAGACGCUCGUUGCGCUGCAGACGGUAACGAGCUUCUCCGUUUCUACUGCACCACUCUCACUUGCUCUCUCGGAUCUCGUGGCUCGUCUUCCCUCUGCUCUAAUCUCCCUAACUGCGGCGUGUGCAACGUGAUUCGCCACGGUUUCCAAGGAAAAUCCGGCGCCGGAGAAGCCAACGCAGGCGUGAGGACGACGGCGAGUAGUGGAAGAGCUGAUGAUUUGCUGAGGUGUAGCGAUGAUGCGAGGAGAGUGAUGCUUGUGUGUCGUGUGAUCGCUGGGAGUGUUAAACGUGUCGAUUCUACGGCGGCGGAGAAGAAGUCUCCCGUGGAAGAUAACUCGACGGUUGGAGUUUCUUCUACCGGCGGUGUGUUUGACUCGGUGGCGGUCAAUGCCGGAGCUUAUUCAAAUAUGGAGGAGCUGGUGGUUUAUAACCCGAGGGCUAUAUUACCUUGCUUCGUGGUUAUUUAUAAGGUUGUAGAAUCUUGAAUUUGUUGUUAUAUUAACUUCAGAAAUAAUGCUUUUUCUGACUUUGUAAUAUUGUAGGG
This 4574-nucleotide long non-coding RNA is filed under the name Brassica napus (rape). RNAcentral describes it as "long non-coding RNA (BNAP_LNC011277)". Lineage: Eukaryota; Viridiplantae; Streptophyta; Magnoliopsida; Brassicales; Brassicaceae. The record is from RNAcentral.